GACGAAGGUGGCAAGCGUUACUCGGAAUUACUAGGCGUAAAGCGCGAGCAGGCGGUUCGACAAGUCCGUUGUGAAAGCCCCGGGCUCAACCCGGGGAGGUCAAUGGAUACUGUCGGACUUGAAUACGGGAGAGGUCGCUGGAAUUCCUGGUGUAGCGGUGAAAUGCGUAGAUAUCGGGAGGAACACCUGUGGCGAAAGCGG
Molecule: ribosomal RNA, 201 nt
Filed under: uncultured prokaryote
Description: partial 16S ribosomal RNA
Rfam family: Bacterial small subunit ribosomal RNA
Source: RNAcentral